This 530-nucleotide ribosomal RNA is filed under the name Bifidobacterium dentium. RNAcentral describes it as "bacterial SSU rRNA". It matches the Rfam family "Bacterial small subunit ribosomal RNA", at positions 160 to 700 of the family's 1533-position model. Lineage: Bacteria; Bacillati; Actinomycetota; Actinomycetes; Bifidobacteriales; Bifidobacteriaceae. The record is from RNAcentral.
GUGGUAAUGCCGGAUGCUCCGGUUGGAUGCAUGUCCUUCCGGGAAAGAUUCCAUCGGUAUGGGAUGGGGUCGCGUCCUAUCAGCUUGAUGGCGGGGUAACGGCCCACCAUGGCUUCGACGGGUAGCCGGCCUGAGAGGGCGACCGGCCACAUUGGGACUGAGAUACGGCCCAGACUCCUACGGGAGGCAGCAGUGGGGAAUAUUGCACAAUGGGCGCAAGCCUGAUGCAGCGACGCCGCGUGCGGGAUGAAGGCCUUCGGGUUGUAAACCGCUUUUGAUCGGGAGCAAGCCCUUCGGGGUGAGUGUACCCUUCGAAUAAGCACCGGCUAACUACGUGCCAGCAGCCGCGGUAAUACGUAGGGUGCAAGCGUUAUCCGGAAUUAUUGGGCGUAAAGGGCUCGUAGGCGGUUCGUCGCGUCCGGUGUGAAAGCCCAUCGCUUAACGGUGGGUCUGCGCCGGGUACGGGCGGGCUGGAGUGCGGUAGGGGAGACUGGAAUUCCCGGUGUAACGGUGGAAUGUGUAGAUAUCGG